Molecule: ribosomal RNA, 1897 nt
Filed under: human gut metagenome
Description: bacterial LSU rRNA
Rfam family: Bacterial large subunit ribosomal RNA (bases 696-1897)
Source: RNAcentral
AGUCCUUUAACAGGCAGAUAUGCGGCCUGUACAGGUAUCAGCACAGAAUCAGAGGAGACCAGUGCAUUGAUUGUCAUCAUACCAAGGCUUGGCAUACAGUCGAUCAGGAUAUAAUCGUAUCGGCAUCUUAUCGCAUCGAUAUAUUCCUUCAUGAUCAUUUCUCUGCUCAUAACAUUUCCCAUCGUCACUUCCAGUACGGAAAGCUCAAUAUUUGCCGGAAGCAGAUCUACAUUUUCCUGAUGAUGCAGAAUACCGUCUUCCUCUGAUAUUUCAUCUUCAUUAAUCACUUUCGUCAUGAUGGUUGCCAAAGUAACUCCCAGUUCAUCCGGCUCUACAUAUCCAAGACUUGCUGUCAGGCUUCCCUGUGGAUCUGCAUCGAUCAAUAAUACUUUUUUUCCUUCUCUUGCCAGGCCAAUUCCUAAAUUUACGGUUGUGGUGGUCUUUACGACUCCGCCUUUCUGGUUUGUAAUGGAUAUCACUUUACACAUAUGUUGUUCCUCCUGUAUUCUUUCAUCAAAAUUCUUCAUCACGGAAUGCUUCCAGAUAUUCAUCAAUAAGAUCCAAAUUAACUAACACGAUUCUUUUGACAUGGUAUACUGCUCUGGCAUCUUUUGCUAACUGUUGAAAUGUAUGGACUCCCAUGGAAUAAAGCAUUGCCCCUUCCUCAUAACGGACAAAUUUCUUGCGUCCUCCUUUGACAAGCUUUUCCAAAUCCGGAACCUUGCUUCGGUUAUUUCCCAUAACGCUUCCCCCUUCUCUUCUUUAAUUCUGAUGCAACAUCAGGAUUGUCUUCUAAAAAAUCAUCCAGAAUAUUCAGAUCCACAAUAGCUGUCUUUCGAAUCGGAUAAUUGGCUUCUGCCUUUUUCGCCAGUCUGACAAAAGGCCAGCUCAAGUUAGAUACCUGGAGGUAAAGCACUGAAUAGCCUAGCGGCCGAGAGGUUAGCGAAGCUUAUCAAACUCAGAAUGCCAGAGUAUUGAUGCUUGGGAGUCAGACAGUGUCAGAUAAAUGUCAUUGUCAAAAGGGAAACAGCCCAGAUCUACAGCUAAGGUCCCAAAGUCAGGUUAAGUGGAAAACGAUGUGGAGAUACGCAGACAACCAGGAUGUUGGCUCAGAAGCAGCCACUCAUUCAAAGAGUGCGUAAUAGCUCACUGGUCGAGCGUCUUUGCGCGGAGAAUUUAACGGGGCUAAACCUGACACCGAAGCUUAGGCAGCAUGUUUACAUGUUGGGUAGGGGAGCGUUGUAUACGCGGUGAAACAGUAGCGCAAGCGGCUGUGGAGUGUAUAGAAGUGAGAAUGCCGGAAUGAGUAGCGCGAAUGCAGUGAGAAUCUGCAUGGCCGAAAGCCUCAGGUUUCUGGAGGAAGGUUCGUCCGCUCCAGGUUAGUCGGGAGCUAAGGUGAGGCCUAACGGCGUAGCCGAUGCACAGACGGUAGAGAUUCCGUCACCACCAAAAGAGUUAAACACAGGGACACAUAUGAAGUCUCGGAGCCGGGUGUUGGUUCCGGUAGCGAUCGAGGGAAGUUAGUACCGAAGUCCGGGAUGGAAGAUGGCGAGAAAAGCUGUGUGUAUUUCUGCGGUGCCCGUACCGCAAACCGACACAGGUAGGUAGGAAGAAGAUUCUAAGGCCAACGGGAGAAGGGUUGUUAAGGAACUCGGCAAAUUGACCCCGUAACUUCGGGAGAAGGGGUGCUCCAGCGAUGGAGCCGCAGAGAAUCGGCCCAAGCAACUGUUUACCAAAAACACAGGUUUGUGCUAAAUCGAAAGAUGACGUAUACGAGCUGACGCCUGCCCGGUGCUGGAAGGUUAAGAGGAGAUGUGCAAGCAUUGAAUCGAAGCCCCAGUGAACGGCGGCCGUAACUAUAACGGUCCUAAGGUAGCGAAAUUCCUUGUCAGGUAAG